This 547-nucleotide ribosomal RNA is filed under the name uncultured Inocybe. RNAcentral describes it as "eukaryotic LSU rRNA". The stretch from base 183 to 336 matches the Rfam family "5.8S ribosomal RNA". Lineage: Eukaryota; Fungi; Basidiomycota; Agaricomycetes; Agaricales; Cortinariaceae. The record is from RNAcentral.
AAGGAUCAUUAUUGAAAUACAGGCUGUUUUGCUGGUUCUCUCAAGGGGGGACAUGUGCACGCUUGUUUGUGUCUUUAUUUUUCCAACUGUGCACAUGUUGUAGACCUGCAUGCAGGUUCUAUGUUGUAAUACAUCUUCACAACUUGUUUCAGAAUGUCGAGUACUGGGGAUAACAAAUAUACAACUUUCAGCAACGGAUCUCUUGGCUCUCGCAUCGAUGAAGAACGCAGCGAAAUGCGAUAAGUAAUGUGAAUUGCAGAAUUCAGUGAAUCAUCGAAUCUUUGAACGCAUCUUGCGCUCCUUGGUAUUCCGAGGAGCAUGCCUGUUUGAGUGUCAUCAAAAAUUCUCAACCACCGUGCUGUGUGGCUUGGAUUUGGGGCUUGCAGGCUUUGAACAGAAGUCGGCUUCCCUGAAAAGGAUUAGCGGUGUUUCCAACCACCUUGGGCAUGAUAAUUAUCUAUGCUAUUGGUAUUCAGGACCUGCUCAUAACCGAGUGUUGACAAAUUUGACCUCAAAUCAGGUAGGACUACCCGCUGAACUUAAGCAU